GUGGCUCAACUGGUAGAGCAAGGCAUUAACACUGCCAGGGUUGGCGGUUCGAUUCCCCUUGGGGCCGCCCA
Non-coding RNA from Merluccius polli (Benguela hake), 71 nucleotides. Lineage: Eukaryota; Metazoa; Chordata; Actinopteri; Gadiformes; Merlucciidae. The record is from the annotation of a GenBank genome assembly.